Molecule: long non-coding RNA, 2945 nt
Organism: Peromyscus californicus insignis
Lineage: Eukaryota; Metazoa; Chordata; Mammalia; Rodentia; Cricetidae
Exons: 2
Source: RefSeq, a predicted model, not a curated record
CACUGCUAACCCAGCCAGCAUCAGGACACAAUUAUCACCUAAUAUAAAACAUACAGAAAGCUCUCACUAGACACAAAGCAAAAACAGAGAAAAUAUUUGAUAUUUGCUUUUCUUUUCCAUACAUAGCUUCCUUUGUCUGAAAUUAUCUUAAAUGCCAAGGAAAGAACAAAGAUCCUAGGAAAAGCAAUUCCAAUCUUUGCUAUCCAGACUUCACUGCUUAUUAAAAAGGUUUGGCAAACAAAACAAGAGUCUCCACCUACAGCUACUAAGCUUAUAAAAUCUGUGUCACGUUUUCCUUUCCAAAAAUAAAACCGCUCCACAUCCAUUUCUUAAGGUAAACAAUUCUUCAGGGGAAAAAAAAAAAACAUAUUAUUCUGCUGCCUGUUUUCAGGCUCAAACUCAUACAAAACCAGUUAUUGUUUUAGCUAAGUCGGCAAAAUUCCUUUCAUCCUUUGUACAGACAAAGCAAAUGUCAGAUUCUUUCGAUACUGUCACAGGCUCUUUUGUUUCUUUAUCGCUAGAUACGCAGAUCUUCUUUUGGACAGUCCCAAAGCCUUUCUCUCCACCAGAAGCCUGGAUCAUUGCUAAGGCUAGAAGACAGUGUUGGAUCCCUAACACUGGAGCUACAGAGAGCUGUAAGCCACCAUGUGGAUUCUGAAAACAAAACCCAGGUCCUCUGGAAGAGGAGACAGUGCUAAACCAUCUAUCUCUCCAGCCCCUCCACUGGACUCUUUCCUACUUUCACAGUCAAACAAAUGAAUGUUGGGUAAAAGGGAUGGGAUCCAGAAUAUGGACAGAGACAAGAGGAGGAAUAUUUAAAGAAGUAUAAGUUUAACCUCACAGUAAAGGAGCUAAAGCUUCCAAAUCACAGCAAUUUGUUCUGUAAAAUAAGAAAAUUAUCAAAUAGCAAGAAUAUCAGAGAUUGAGAAGAACUAAGAGAAUUGGAAAGUGAAAAUACAAACAAGAAGAUUCAGGUUAGCCAGGUAGUGGUGGCACACGCCUUUAAUCCCAGUACUCAAGAGGCAGAGGCAGGCGGAUCUCUGUGAGUUCAAGGCCAGCCUGGUCUACAAAGUGAGUUCCAGGACAGCCAGGGUUACACAAAGAAACCCUGUUUCGAAAAUUUAAAAAAAGAAAGGAAGGAAGGAAGGAAGGAAGGAAGGAAGGAAGGAAGGAAGGAAGGAAGGAAGGAAGGAAGGAAGGAAGGAAGGAAGGAGAAAACACAGUAACAAUGAUUACUAGUGAAAAACACUGAAAUCUAACAUUUAUCAAGAUUUUAUAGAAUACAGCACUCAUCAAAGUGGUAUGUCCUUACAACAGAAAGAGCCCAUUACAGAAACCAGAACUGAUCAAAAUGCAGAAAGCAAGUGACUAUAUGGUGUCCAGCUCCAACUAAUAUAUCUACAAUAUAACUCCUACAUCUAAAGAUCAGGAAUCAUUGCUGAAGAGCAGGUAAAAAAGACUGUGAGAGUCAGAGAAACAACAAGUUUGCUAUGACAUUUCAUCUCCUAGAAAUGUCAGAGAAGCUAAGCCCAUGAAGUAUUAACAUUUCUGCCUAAACAAGGAGGACAUCAAUAGGCAUUCUAACACAAAAUGGAGAAGUCACAUGAGGUCUCACCCAUAGACAUAGAACUACAGACAACUAAGGAAUGCUGAGAGUAGGGGAAAGAGCUCCCAAAUUGGUUAUCCAAUGCCAAGUGUCAGCCCUGAAAUCAUGUAACAAGUAACAUUACACAGACUGAGCUGGUUGUAUUCAUGUAUUUGGGAACGAACACACACACACACACACACACACACACACACACACACACACACACACACACGGAGGGGGGAGGUCAAAGAAAUAGAGGCCAUAAAUUUGAGAGAGCAAAGGAACAUGGGAAAGAAUGGAGGGAAGAAGGGAAGGGGGAAAUUAUGUAAUUACACUUCAAUCUCAAAACAUAAAACAAACUUAAAGGACCAACAAUCUGCUCCCCUGUAUGAUUUUAACAGGUCUUGGUAAGACAGAGAUAAAAAUGUUGCCAGAAAAAUUUACAAGAUAUACUGACCAAAAAAUAUGAAGAAAAAGAUUAUCAUAAUGUGAAAAGAAUAAGUUACUCAGCUAUGAAGUCUAUACUUAGAGGGAAGUAAAGAUUAAAGGUCAGGAACAAAGGAGAAGAAUCUACAGAGGUGCUCAGGAGUCUGGGAAGUAAUCUAUUUUAGAAUAAUUAAAUGAGGAAAACUAAUGGUGGUGGUGCACAUUUGUAAUCCCAUGGAACUCAGGAGAUGGAGGAGGCAAAAAGACCAGAAGUUCAAGACUAUUCUCAGCCCAGCCACAUGAGAUAUAUUUUAAACAUACAGAAGCAAAAUUAACUAAGCCACAUGCAAUGAACCAAGAAUUAAUUUUUCAAUUAAGCACAAAUUCAGAGAAAGAAAAGUAAUAAAACAACAACAACAAAAAAAAAAACACAAAAUAAGGGGUGGCUGCUUGGAAGACCCAGGGUGACCAACUUGGCUGCCAACUGGGCCCAGAUGCAGUGCUGAGUCUGUCCAUCGCAACAUCUAUCCCACCUACAAGCUGCUGGAGUGCAUGGAGGAGCAAGUAAUUGCCAAAGAUGAAAACUUGAAGCAUGUGACCACAAGAGACCCCUGGAGGCUCCAAGGGGAGAGGAGUAGAAAGAGGCUGUACUGGUAGUAGUGGAGUCUGCAAGAGACUGCAGUGUCUCUGGAACAACCAGAAAAGCGCAGGUCCUAUGGGAAGAUGUGAAUAUAUGAGACUCGGUAAUUUUUUUCUUUUUUUGUUUUGUUUUAGGGGAGAUCACAAGGGUGAGGGUGGAUCUAGGAGGACUGGAAGUGAAUGUGAUCAGGGUGCAUUAUGUGAAAUUUCCAAAUAAUCAAUAAAAAUAUUAUGUUAAAUAAAAAAGCACAUAAUAUUUGUAAACUAUAAUAAAAAUGUUUGUACACCUGCA